CAGUCGCCGCGGUAAUACAGAGGGUGCAAGCGUUAAUCGGAUUUACUGGGCGUAAAGGGCGCGUAGGUGGUUAUUUAAGUGAGAUGUGAAAGCCCCGGGCUUAACCUGGGAACUGCAUCUUAUACUGGGUAACUGGAGUGCAGUAGAGGGUAGUGGAAUUUCCGGUGUAGCGGUGAAAUGCGUAGAUAUCGGAAGGAACACCAGUGGCGAAGGCGGCUACCUGGACUGAGACUGACACUGAGGCGCGAGAGCGUGGGGAGCAAACAGGAUUAGAUACCCGUGUAGUCCCUGUCUCUUAUAC
RNAcentral lists this ribosomal RNA (301 nucleotides) under uncultured bacterium. RNAcentral's name for it is "partial 16S ribosomal RNA". It matches the Rfam family "Bacterial small subunit ribosomal RNA", at positions 509 to 807 of the family's 1533-position model. The record is from RNAcentral.